CAAGAUAUAGCUUAAACAAAGCAUCUAGUUUACACCUAGAAGAUUCCACAGUUCGUGUAUGUCUUGA
RNAcentral lists this transfer RNA (67 nucleotides) under Balaenoptera omurai (Omura's baleen whale). RNAcentral describes it as "tRNA-Val". It matches the Rfam family "tRNA". Rfam says of the family: Transfer RNA (tRNA) molecules are approximately 80 nucleotides in length. Their secondary structure includes four short double-helical elements and three loops (D, anti-codon, and T loops). Further hydrogen bonds mediate the characteristic L-shaped molecular structure. tRNAs have two regions of fundamental functional importance: the anti-codon, which is responsible for specific mRNA codon recognition, and the 3' end, to which the tRNAs corresponding amino acid is attached (by aminoacyl-tRNA synthetases). tRNAs cope with the degeneracy of the genetic code in two manners: having more than one tRNA (with a specific anti-codon) for a particular amino acid; and 'wobble' base-pairing, i.e. permitting non-standard base-pairing at the 3rd anti-codon position. Lineage: Eukaryota; Metazoa; Chordata; Mammalia; Artiodactyla; Balaenopteridae. The record is from RNAcentral.